Molecule: ribosomal RNA, 253 nt
Filed under: uncultured bacterium
Lineage: Bacteria
Description: partial 16S ribosomal RNA
Rfam family: Bacterial small subunit ribosomal RNA
Source: RNAcentral
GACGAACCGUGCGAACGUUGUUCGGAAUCACUGGGCUUAAAGGGCGCGUAGGCGGGCUGCCAAGUCAGGGGUGAAAGCCCACGGCUCAACCGUGGAAGUGCCUUUGAUACUGGCGGUCUAGAGGGAGGUAGGGGCGUGCGGAACUUCCGGUGGAGCGGUGAAAUGCGUAGAUAUCGGAAGGAACACCGGUGGCGAAAGCGGCGCGCUGGACCUCUUCUGACGCUGAGGCGCGAAAGCCAGGGGAGCAAACGGG